AGGAAUAAAUGUUUCUGGACUACAUGACCAAGGAACAGCAAUCUCAUGGGAGUACUGUCAAUUUUUGUCGACUCCCCAGUAGAGCAGAAAGCAGUGGAACAGCUUACUCCAAGUGCAAUGUACUUGUCAGACAUGAGCAGAGCUCCCAAACAACGAUUUUGGGGACGACGGUGCAGUGCUGCCUCGGUACCGCCCAUGCUGAGAUGCCCAAGCUCUUGUUGGCUGCGCCACUUGAGUGAUGCCAAUGAGCUCUCAUAUCUCGUGGAAGAUGUUACACUUAAUAAAACCGCAGCAGGAGAGAAGCAUGAAGUCUGGCUGUACUGCAGGCUCGGCCAAGGCCCCAGGGAGCCCGAGGAGGAAGAGGGGAGCAGAGGUGGGACCGUGGGGACGGCAGAGCGCUGA
RNAcentral lists this long non-coding RNA (402 nucleotides) under Anser brachyrhynchus (Pink-footed goose). RNAcentral describes it as "lncRNA (ENSABRG00000003027.1)". Lineage: Eukaryota; Metazoa; Chordata; Aves; Anseriformes; Anatidae. The record is from RNAcentral.